AAAAAAUGUUGUAAGACAGAGAUUGCACGAUCAAUUUAUACAAAAGUGGUUUUCAGAUGUGUCUAAUUCUUCACGAGGGGAAUAUUAUUCUAAGUUUAAGACAGAGUUUGAAUUAGAAGAUUAUCUUUUACGGUUAAAUCCUGUAAAUAGAAACUAUAUAUGUAAACUGAGAACAUGCAAUCUCAAAUUUCCGAUAGAGACGGGACGUUGGGCUGGUAUACCAAGGAAUGAAAGAUUGUGCAAUCUCUGUAAACAAGUUGUUGGAAACGAAUUCCAUUAUAUUUUCUGCUGUAAUGAAUUGAAAGAUAUUCGAAC
RNAcentral lists this long non-coding RNA (315 nucleotides) under Mytilus galloprovincialis (Mediterranean mussel). The record is from RNAcentral. Lineage: Eukaryota; Metazoa; Mollusca; Bivalvia; Mytilida; Mytilidae.